CUCUAUUAAAUGAAAAAGUGAGUAGAUUACUCUAUUUAAUGGAAAGAUAAAUGUUAUUACUUUAUUAAAUGGGAAGGUGAGGAGAUUUUUUGAUUAAAUGGAAAGGUAAAUAGAAGAUGAAAGGAUUAGUCUAUUAAAUAAUAAGGUAAAUGAAAAGGUGAAGAGACGACACUAGGAGAUAAAUCGAAUACAUGAAAGGAAGUAUUUGGUAGAGGUGGGUCUAAUAUUCAAUAGAAAGAAUAGAGAAUGUGAUAAUAACACCGGUAGCUAGGUGGGUCCAAAUUCACCGGAAUUCUGCCACGUCGGAUAGAAGUCACGGGAAUUAAAUAGUUUUGUAUAGAUGUAUAGAUGUACAAGUUUUCUUCUUUAAACUAAGAUUAUUAUUUUUCUUGGUGGGAUUUACAUAGAAAUUUUCCCAUAUGGUGCUCCUACAAAAGGUGGAGCUUUUCUAAGUUGUAUCAAAACUCUAUUUUAGUCCAAAUCUUUUAAAAUAAAAUUAAUAAUUUUUGAAUUUUGAAUAAUGUACUAAAGUAGCCUGUUCUAUUAUUUGAUGUUAAGUACAUAAAAUAGGAAGGUGGUACAUAAAAUUUGUCAUUAGAAAUUUUUUUUUUUUUUUUUAGAGAGAUAGGUAGUUUGCUAUCCGUUUUGUUUAUUUCAUUUAAAAAGAAACUUAGUUUGAAAUAUGAAUCAACUAGGAUUCAAACAUGGGAUCUCGAGUACCAACUACUAAAUCUUUUGCCACCUGCACUAGGGACGAAUUUCUCAGGCUGUAGGCUAAAAGGCCUUCUCCUAUUCUACAUCUUCUGAUAUUUUAGUAAGUUAUCCUUCUCACAUGUGAUUUUACAGUCAAGUCCUUCUUACUAAGGAAUUUGCAACUAGACCUAUACUGUAUAGAAUUUCACAAUAGACCGAUUCUUAAAAUUUUAUAAUAAAAUCCUUUCGAGUUUCAACACUACAAAUAUUCCCCCAUUUGAAUUAAUACUUUUCCUCGGAAAAUUUAUAAAGGAAUUUUGCUACGAGGUUUUUCUCACUCUUGAAAUUGCGAGACCAAAUAUAGUGAAUUUUACCGUGACGUCCUACGUUCAGUUUGGCUUGAAUUGAUUUUUUUUUUUUUUUUUUUUUUUUCCUUUGAUCUAAGUUUGACACAAUUCAAAAUUGCUUAAUAUUAAUCAAAUUUUCAUUCAAAAGCCGAUUGAAACUAAAACUAAAAUCAAGGGCGAACCUUGACCUUAUUUUAUGCCAAUUUCUUUUUAAAAAAUAAGUAUUUAGUUAAAACUUAAAUUCAAAUUUUGCAUAUUCAAAAUGAGAAUAUCAUAAUUAUAGAGACACUUUCAUAUAUCUUUUUAAAAUAAAUGAUUCCAGGAUGGACAAGUCAAGCAGGUGAGGUUGUAUUUUGCCACCCCUGACCAUAUAUAUAUUGUUCAUGAAGCACAAGUUCACCCUCUGCCAUACGCUUUGCACUAGNUCUCUCUCUCUCUCUCUCUCUCUCUCUCUAUAUAUAUAUAUAUAUAUAUAUAUAUAUAUAUAUAUUCCUCUAGAUAGAGAGAGAUUUGGUGAGGGAUAAAAGUCGACAACACCGAUGCCAUCGCGGGCCUUAUCGACGAUGUGUAUGAUAUAAUGGAGAGCGGUCGAAUGGCUCCAUCGAUUAUGCCCAUGGCAUUAGGAGAACAAACGCUACACGUUUUAAACUUUGGGAAAGAAUAAGCUAAAUUGGAAGGAUGCCUAAUUAAAAGCAUGGCAUUCUCGUUUUCUCCACUAUUACUCUAUUAAAUGAAAAAGUAAGUAGAUUACUCUAUUAAAUGAAAAGAUAAAUGCUAUUACUUUAUUAAAUGGGAAGGUGAGGAGAUUUUUUGAUUAAAUAGAAAGGUAAAUGAAGAUGAAAGGAUUAGUCUAUUAAAUAAGAAGGUAAAUGAGAAGGUGAAGAGACAAUACUAGGAGAUAAAUCGAAUACAUGAAAGGAAGUAUUUGGUAGAGGUGGGCCUAAUAUUCAAUAGAAAGAAUAGAGGAGGUGAUAAUAACACUGGUAGCUAGGUGGGUCCAAAUUCAUCAGAAUUCUGCCACGUUGGAUAGAAGCCACGGGAAUUAAUAGUUUUGUAUAGAUGUACAAGUUUUCUUCUUUAAACUAAGAUUAUUAUUUUUCUUGGUGGGAUUU
This 2152-nucleotide long non-coding RNA is filed under the name Ananas comosus (pineapple). RNAcentral's name for it is "long non-coding RNA (ACOM_LNC019402)". Lineage: Eukaryota; Viridiplantae; Streptophyta; Magnoliopsida; Poales; Bromeliaceae. The record is from RNAcentral.